This 22-nucleotide non-coding RNA is filed under the name Arabidopsis thaliana (thale cress). Lineage: Eukaryota; Viridiplantae; Streptophyta; Magnoliopsida; Brassicales; Brassicaceae. The record is from RNAcentral.
AUUGUGUUGUUAUGUCUGUACC